ACCCAGCUCCACGCAAAAGAAAGUGAGAAGACAGAAAGAGACCAGAGGAGAGAGAGAGAGAGAGUGAAAAAGAGAGAGCGUGUGUGUGUGAGAGAGAGAGAAGGCAUGGAGGAAAUAUAUAUGGAGCAUGUAGGUGUUGCCGGAGGGAAGAGUUGAGCCAUACGUCUAGAAAAUAUUAGCAUAUACGAUGGGGUAUUAUCUGGUGGCCGAUUACUAUUCUAGAAGAGAAAUCUUGUUAUCGAGGCAAGUAGCUGCUUUGCUAAACUCCUUGAUCUCGCCUUAUUGUUGUCUUCUUUUCUUAUCUGAUUAUAUUGUUGCACCUUGAUCUUUAUUGAUCCUCCAUUGAUCCUUGAGAGCGGGAUGUGUUGUCCUCGAAAUCCAUUUGUUGAUGGAGUCAUUCUGUUUUCAGAGGAACUCAUGUAAAGCCAUGAGCUUAUUGAUAUUCCAGUGAUCCUAUCGUUGAUCAAGCCACAUAUCAUAUUUUGGUCCAUUUAUAUUGGUUUCACGACGACAAACGAAUUGUACCGGCCAUAGUUUAGGUAUGGGACUAUCUGGGCUCUCCACUAAGGACGGACCUUGUUUGGAAACGUGUCGGUGAUGGAUCCGUAGGAGCGACCGACAUCAGUAGGUCCAGGUGUUCGGGUCUUAGUGGGUACAAGAACUCUGCUCUUCUGGAACCUAUGUGGUUCUAGUCGAGGCUGUCGACGUCGGAGUACCCCUCUUAAGAGCGUAAAAGUGUGAAAUUUCACACCUGUGACUCCCGGGUUGGAAAACCUUGCGAUCAUAUGUGAUGCCAAUAAAUUCCUGGUUGUUUCCAUUAAAUCCAGUUAUAUGUUCUUUUGUCCAUUUACACCAAAAUAUGUUCCAAUGAUUUUUACCUUGUUCAGUUCAUUUGCUGAUCUCCACCAUCAUACCAUUGUUUUUGUUGAGUAGUGAAGUGUCUGCUUGCUGAGUAUGAUUUAUCGUACUCACCCUUGUCUCCUCUGUUUUUUAGAUGCAGUCGAUGUAACUUAAGUAUGCCCAGAAGAUGUCAUCCAAGAACAGGCUGGACCAGUGGCUGGGAAGCGACUAGAGAAUUUGAUGUAUUUUGGCCAUUUGUAAAUGUAAAGGAAUUUGUGUAGUCAAUAUAUAAGAGCUUUUGUGAUC
This 1146-nucleotide long non-coding RNA is filed under the name Triticum aestivum (bread wheat). Its description in RNAcentral is "long non-coding RNA (TAES_LNC008208)". The record is from RNAcentral. Lineage: Eukaryota; Viridiplantae; Streptophyta; Magnoliopsida; Poales; Poaceae.